Datura stramonium (jimsonweed) is the source of this 85-nucleotide non-coding RNA. The record is from the annotation of a GenBank genome assembly. Lineage: Eukaryota; Viridiplantae; Streptophyta; Magnoliopsida; Solanales; Solanaceae.
GCCGGGAUAGCUCAGUUGGUAGAGCAGAGGAUUGAAAAUCCUCGUGUCACCAGUUUUUUGAGUAGGUCGGGGCUCUGUCUCGGCC